GAUGAAGAACGUAGCGAAAUGCGAUAAGUAAUGUGAAUUGCAGAAUUCAGUGAAUCAUCGAAUCUUUGAACGCACAUUGCGCCCUGUGGUAUUCCGCAGGGCAUGCCUGUUCGAGCGUCAUUUCAACCCUCAAGCCCCGCUUGGUGUUGGGCCCCGCCCGCUGUGGCCGGCCCUAAAGACAGUGGCGGCGCCGCCUGGCCCUCAGCGUAGUACAUCUCUCGCUCCAGGGUCCAGUGGCCGCCUGCCAGAACCCCCCAACUCUGUGGUUGACCUCGGAUCAGGUAGGGAUACCCGCUGAACUUAAGCAUAUCAAUAAGCGGAGGA
This 324-nucleotide unclassified non-coding RNA is filed under the name soil metagenome. RNAcentral's name for it is "partial contains 5.8S ribosomal RNA, internal transcribed spacer 2, and large subunit ribosomal RNA". The stretch from base 1 to 120 matches the Rfam family "5.8S ribosomal RNA", at positions 35 to 154 of the family's 154-position model. The record is from RNAcentral.